This 245-nucleotide long non-coding RNA is filed under the name Lathyrus oleraceus (garden pea). RNAcentral's name for it is "Pisum sativum (pea) long non-coding RNA (PSAT_LNC006334)". Lineage: Eukaryota; Viridiplantae; Streptophyta; Magnoliopsida; Fabales; Fabaceae. The record is from RNAcentral.
GUUUGUAAGUUUUAUCCUUGGCUUCUCCUUCUUGGUCGGUUUGUUUUUCGGGCUCCACUGGUUCUUCUCCUUGGUUUGUAGGUAUAUUUUCUUUAGAAGCUUUGGACUCGCUCAUUGCUAGGUUAUGAGGCCCUUCGUAAGCGGUCCCACUUCGUAAUGAGAUAUCGUUAGCUUGCCCUCGAGGGUUGAGUUGAGGUUGCCCAGGGAAUUGUCCUCCAGGUGUAGUUUGUGGGGCUUGGUUUUGU